RNAcentral lists this ribosomal RNA (497 nucleotides) under uncultured bacterium. RNAcentral's name for it is "partial 16S ribosomal RNA". It matches the Rfam family "Bacterial small subunit ribosomal RNA", at positions 28 to 507 of the family's 1533-position model. The record is from RNAcentral.
GAUGAACGCUGGCGGCGUGCCUAAUACAUGCAAGUCGAGCGAUCAGACGAGGGCCUUCCUCUUCUGACGUUAUCGGCGGACGGGUGAGUAACACGUGUAUAACCUCUCUAUAAGACUGGGAUAACUUCGGGAAACUGGCGCUAAUACCGGAUAAUAUAUUGAACCGCAUUGUUCAAUAGUGAAAGACGGUUUUGCUGUUACUUAUUGAUGGUUCCUCGUCUCAUUAGCUUGUUGGUAAGGUAACGGCUUACAAAGACAAUGCUUCGUAGCCGACCUGGGAGGGUGAUCGACAAAACUGGAACGGAAAACGGGCCAGAACUCCUAGGGGAGGCAGAAGAAGGGAAUCUUCGGCAAUGGGCGAAAGCCGGACGGGGAAACGCCGGGUGGGUAAGGAAGGUCUUCGGAUCGAAAGACUUUGUUAAAAGGAAAAAAGAGAUGUGUAAGUAAAAAUGCACGUCGUGACGGUACCUAAUCAGAAAGCGACGGCUAACUACGUG